UGGGGAAUAUUGGACAAUGGGCGCAAGCCUGAUCCAGCCAUGCCGCGUGAGUGAUGAAGGCCCUAGGGUUGUAAAGCUGUUUCACCGGUGAAGAUAAUGACGGUAACCGGAGAAGAAGCCCCGGCUAACUUCGCGCCAGCAGCCGCGGUAAUACGAAGGGGGCUAGCGUUGUUCGGAUUUACUGGGCGUAAAGCGCACGUAGGCGGACUAUUAAGUCAGGGGUGAAAUCCCGGGGCUCAACCCCGGAACUGCCUUUGAUACUGGUAGUUUUGAGUUCGGGAGAGGUGAGUGGAAUUCCGAGUGUAGGGGUGAAAUUCGUAGAUAUUCGGAGGAACACCAGUGGCGAAGGCGGCUCACUGGCUCGAUACUGACGCUGAGGUGCGAAAGCGGGGGGAGCAAACAGG
RNAcentral lists this ribosomal RNA (404 nucleotides) under Actinomycetes bacterium. Its description in RNAcentral is "Actinobacteria bacterium partial 16S ribosomal RNA". It matches the Rfam family "Bacterial small subunit ribosomal RNA", at positions 355 to 776 of the family's 1533-position model. The record is from RNAcentral. Lineage: Bacteria; Bacillati; Actinomycetota; Actinomycetes.